AGUCUUGAGGUGUUUACAUGUAGGAUUGCAAAUCCUAAGAAGCAGGCUAGGUAACCUGCCAGGACUU
RNAcentral lists this transfer RNA (67 nucleotides) under Zenarchopterus dispar (feathered river-garfish). Its description in RNAcentral is "tRNA-Cys". Lineage: Eukaryota; Metazoa; Chordata; Actinopteri; Beloniformes; Zenarchopteridae. The record is from RNAcentral.